This 246-nucleotide ribosomal RNA is filed under the name uncultured bacterium. Its description in RNAcentral is "partial 16S ribosomal RNA". It matches the Rfam family "Bacterial small subunit ribosomal RNA", at positions 531 to 776 of the family's 1533-position model. The record is from RNAcentral.
GGUGCGAGCGUUAAUCGGAAUUACUGGGCGUAAAGCGUGCGCAGGCGGGUCGCUGUGUCCUGUGUGGAAGCCCCGGGCUUAACCUGGGAAUGGCAUGGGAACCUGGCGGGCUGGAGUGUGGCAGAGGGGGGUGGAAUUCCGCGUGUAGCAGUGAAAUGCGUAGAGAUGCGGAGGAACACCGAUGGCGAAGGCAGCCCCCUGGGCUAACACUGACGCUCAGGCACGAAAGCGUGGGGAGCAAACAGG